Molecule: ribosomal RNA, 253 nt
Filed under: uncultured bacterium
Lineage: Bacteria
Description: partial 16S ribosomal RNA
Rfam family: Bacterial small subunit ribosomal RNA
Source: RNAcentral
GACAGAGGGUGCAAACGUUGUUCGGAAUUACUGGGCGUAAAGCGCGUGUAGGCGGUCGUGCAAGUCGGGCGUGAAAUCCCUGGGCUCAACCGAGGAAGUGCGCUCGAAACUGCAUGACUGGAGUUCCGGAGAGGAUGGUGGAAUUCUCGGUGUAGAGGUGAAAUUCGUAGAUAUCGAGAGGAACACCAGUGGCGAAGGCGGCCAUCUGGACGGAAACUGACGCUGAGACGCGAAAGCGUGGGUAGCAAACAGG